RNAcentral lists this ribosomal RNA (446 nucleotides) under uncultured bacterium. RNAcentral's name for it is "partial 16S ribosomal RNA". It matches the Rfam family "Bacterial small subunit ribosomal RNA", at positions 338 to 795 of the family's 1533-position model. The record is from RNAcentral.
CCUACGGGGGGCAGCAGUCGAGAAUCAUUCACAAUGGGGGAAACCCUGAUGGUGCGACGCCGCGUGGGGGAAUGAAGGUCUUCGGAUUGUAAACCCCUGUCAUGUGGGAGCAAAUUAAAAAGAUAGUACCACAAGAGGAAGAGACGGCUAACUCUGUGCCGGCAGCCGCGGUAAUACAGAGGUCUCAAGCGUUGUUCGGAAUCACUGGGCGUAAAGCGUGCGUAGGCUGUUUCGUAAGUCGUGUGUGAAAGGCGCGGGCUCAACCCGCGGACGGCACAUGAUACUGCGAGACUAGAGUAAGGGAGGGGGAACCGGAAUUCUCGGUGUAGCAGUGAAAUGCGUAGAUAUCGAGAGGAACACUCGUGGCGAAGGCGGGUUCCUGGACAUUAACUGACGCUGAGGCACGAAGGCCAGGGGAGCGAAAGGGAUUAGAUACCCCAGUAGUC